Molecule: ribosomal RNA, 253 nt
Filed under: uncultured bacterium
Lineage: Bacteria
Description: partial 16S ribosomal RNA
Rfam family: Bacterial small subunit ribosomal RNA
Source: RNAcentral
GACGUAGGGUGCAAGCGUUGUCCGGAUUUAUUGGGCGUAAAGAGCUCGUAGGCGGCUUGUUGCGUCGACUGUGAAAACCCGCGGCUUAACCGCGGGCUUGCAGUUGAUACGGGCAGGCUAGAGUUCGGUAGGGGAGACUGGAAUUCCUGGUGUAGCGGUGAAAUGCGUAGAUAUCUGGAGGAACACCGGUGGCGAAGGCGGCAUCCUGGACCGACACUGACGCUGAGGAGCGAAAGCCAGGGGAGCAAACGGG